Molecule: long non-coding RNA, 268 nt
Filed under: Capsella rubella
Lineage: Eukaryota; Viridiplantae; Streptophyta; Magnoliopsida; Brassicales; Brassicaceae
Description: long non-coding RNA (CRUB_LNC003140)
Source: RNAcentral
UUUUCAAAAAAAUAAAAAAAAAUAAAAUAAGAACCCUAGUUUGCUGCAGUAUUGUUUCUAUAGGCUGUUUAGUUUUAUUUGUCUUUAAAAUAAAAUAAAAAAAAUUGUCACUAUUAUUUCCUUAAAUCGUCUGCUUCUGUCUUUGAUUUAGUUUCUAUACUAGUUCAAAGUUUUCGUCAAAAAAAAAAAAAAUUAUUUUGUUUUAAAAUUUUUGUGUCAACUAGUAUUUUUUAAGUAUCUUAAAGCUUAUUUAAAAAUAAUAGUUUUC